This 254-nucleotide ribosomal RNA is filed under the name uncultured bacterium. RNAcentral describes it as "partial 16S ribosomal RNA". It matches the Rfam family "Bacterial small subunit ribosomal RNA", at positions 524 to 776 of the family's 1533-position model. The record is from RNAcentral.
UACGUAGGGUGCGAGCGUUGUCCGGAAUUAUUGGGCGUAAAGAGCUCGUAGGCGGUCUGUCGCGUCGGCUGUGAAAACCCGGAGCUCAACUCUGGGCGUGCGGUCGAUACGGGCAUCACUUGAGUUCGGCAGGGGAGACUGGAAUUCCUGGUGUAGCGGUGAAAUGCGCAGAUAUCAGGAGGAACACCGGUGGCGAAGGCGGGUCUCUGGGCCGAUACUGACGCUGAGGAGCGAAAGCAUGGGUAGCGAACAGG